This is a non-coding RNA of Oryzias latipes (Japanese medaka), 114 nucleotides long. The record is from Rfam. Lineage: Eukaryota; Metazoa; Chordata; Actinopteri; Beloniformes; Adrianichthyidae.
GUUGGUUAUGGCGAUAUAUGCCCGGUGACCGUGGGAGGAAAGCUCGUGGCCACCGUGAGCAUCAUCUGCGGCUUGCUGGUGGUUGCUCUGCCAAUUUCUGUCAUCUUUAAUAAG